This 526-nucleotide ribosomal RNA is filed under the name uncultured eukaryote. Its description in RNAcentral is "SSU rRNA". It matches the Rfam family "Eukaryotic small subunit ribosomal RNA", at positions 75 to 604 of the family's 1831-position model. The record is from RNAcentral.
UAUACAGCGAAACUGCGAAUGGCUCAUUAUAUAAGUUAUCGUUUAUUUGAUAGUGCCUUACUACUUGGAUAACCGUGGUAAUUCUAGAGCUAAUACAUGCUAAAAACCCCGACUUCGGAAGGGGUGUAUUUAUUAGAUACAAAACCAAUGCCCUUCGGGGCUCUUUGGCGAUUCAUGAUAACUAUACGAAUCGCACGGCCUUGCGCCGGCGAUGGUUCAUUCAAAUUUCUUCCCUAUCAACUUUCGAUGUUUGGGUAUUGGCCAAACAUGGUUGCAACGGGUAACGGAGGGUUAGGGCUCGACCCCGGAGAAGGAGCCUGAGAAACGGCUACUACAUCCAAGGAAGGCAGCAGGCGCGCAAAUUACCCAAUCCCGACUCGGGGAGGUAGUGACAAUAAAUACUGAUACAGGGCCCUUUCGGGCCUUGUAAUUGGAAUGAGUACAAUUUAAAUCCCUUAACGAGGAACAAUUGGAGGGCAAGUCUGGUGCCAGCAGCCGCGGUAAUUCCAGCUCCAAUAGCGUAUAU